Molecule: long non-coding RNA, 378 nt
Filed under: Brassica napus (rape)
Lineage: Eukaryota; Viridiplantae; Streptophyta; Magnoliopsida; Brassicales; Brassicaceae
Description: long non-coding RNA (BNAP_LNC020208)
Source: RNAcentral
GAUGGGGAAGGCGUUAUCGGGUCGUGAAGAGAAGGUCUCAACUUGUGCUAAACUAUAAAUGAUUGUUUAUAUGGCCUAUUAUUAUUCAUCAUAACACAGCGAAACAACAAUUUUAGAUGCUUAAUGAAGAGGAGAAUGGACCAAAGCUUACGUUAUUAUUAUUGAUUACAUAUAUUAUAAAAAUGAAUUGUGUAAAUGUAUCACAUGUAACCUCUCUCUAAACCUUCAAUUUUAUUAUUAUUCAUCAUAACACUUCGAAACAACAAUUUUAGAUGCUUAAUGAAGGAGAAUGGACCAAAGCUUACGUUAUUAUUAUUGAUUACAUAUAUUAUAAAAAAAGAAUAGUGUAAAUGUAUCACAUGUAACCUCUCUCUAAAC